Non-coding RNA from Prunus avium (sweet cherry), 602 nucleotides. Lineage: Eukaryota; Viridiplantae; Streptophyta; Magnoliopsida; Rosales; Rosaceae. The record is from RefSeq and is a predicted model, not a curated record.
UAAAAAGGUAAAAGCAAACCCUAAGUCCCAUAUCUUCUCCCUCUUGGCUAUAUGCGGCAUCAGCUACUUCUCUCUCUUGGCUUCGUACUCUCCUCUUAUCCUGGGUUGGGCAGCAACAUCUUGGGUUGGGCGGCAGCAACAUCUUCUUCUCUUUGGCAGUAGCUUCACCUCUCCUCUUGUCCACAACAAGCUAUCUUUUAUUAUGUCGGACCACAAUCGGAACCCCAAGAGAGCAAAGAAUUUGUUGUCUUUUUAUAAGAAAAAGAAUGAUGGGUCAUCAUCCAGUAAAAUUCCUUCUGGCACUUCUUUAUCUACUCCAAUUAGUGAUGAGCAAAAUCUUCAUGACUCUCCCAUUGUCGAGCCUCAAGUUGAAAGAGUUGAAUCUCAAAAAUUUGAUGAUGAUCAAGAUUUUAAUAUCAAUUAUCUUGAACGUGAUUCAGGAUUACGUCGUCUAAUAUGCAAAUAUCCGGUCAAUGAACAAGAUAAUGUGCAAAAAGCAUAUAUUCUUUUAGGACCAUGUCAACCCGAGUUAGAAGAUUAUCCAAGCCACUUAGAAGGGCAGAACUUUCAUCGAUUUAAUAAAAAGUGGUUCGGCCAAUUCA